GCGCGAAAACUUUGCAAUGCGGGAAACCGUGACAAGGGAACUCCGAGUGCCCGUAAAUUCGGGCUGUCCGCCAGUUUAAAUAACUGGUGAAGAAAGGGCCGGGCAAGACCGGUGCCAGCCGCCGCGGUAAUACCGGCGGCUCGAGUGGUGGCCACUAUUACUGGGCUUAAAGCGUUCGUAGCUGGCUUGUUAAGUCUCUGGGGAAAUCUUCCGGCUUAACCGGAAGGCGUCUCAGGGAUACUGGCAGGCUAGGGACCGGUAGAGGUGAGGGGUACUCCAGGGGUAGGAGUGAAAUCCUGUAAUCCUUGGGGGACCACCUGUGGCGAAGGCGUCUCACCAGAACGGCUCCGACAGUGAGGAACGAAAGCUGGGGGAGCAAACCGG
RNAcentral lists this ribosomal RNA (384 nucleotides) under uncultured bacterium. Its description in RNAcentral is "bacterial SSU rRNA". It matches the Rfam family "Archaeal small subunit ribosomal RNA", at positions 339 to 727 of the family's 1478-position model. The record is from RNAcentral.